GACGAACGCUGGCGGCGUGCCUAAUACAUGCAAGUCGAACGCUUCUUUCCUCCCGAGUGCUUGCACUCAAUUGGAAAGAGGAGUGGCGGACGGGUGAGUAACACGUGGGUAACCUACCCAUCAGAGGGGGAUAACACUUGGAAACAGGUGCUAAUACCGCAUAACAGUUUAUGCCGCAUGGCAUAAGAGUGAAAGGCGCUUUCGGGUGUCGCUGAUGGAUGGACCCGCGGUGCAUUAGCUAGCUGGUGAGGUAACGGCUCACCAAGGCCACGAUGCAUAGCCGACCGGAGAGGGUGAUCGGCCACACUGGGACUGAGACACGGCCCAGAGUCCUACGGGAGGCAGCAGUAGGGAAUCUGCGGCAAUGGACGAAAGUCUGACCGAGCAACGCCGCGUGAGUGAAGAAGGUGUUCGGAUCGUAAAACUCUGUUGUUAGAGAAGAACAAGGACGUUAGUAACUGAACGUCCCCUGACGGUAUCUAACCAGAAAGCCACGGCUAACUACGUG
RNAcentral lists this ribosomal RNA (508 nucleotides) under uncultured bacterium. Its description in RNAcentral is "partial 16S ribosomal RNA". It matches the Rfam family "Bacterial small subunit ribosomal RNA", at positions 28 to 507 of the family's 1533-position model. The record is from RNAcentral.